This 1294-nucleotide long non-coding RNA is filed under the name Chrysemys picta bellii (western painted turtle). Its description in RNAcentral is "lncRNA (ENSCPBG00000013111.1)". Lineage: Eukaryota; Metazoa; Chordata; Testudines; Emydidae. The record is from RNAcentral.
UGACUAGUUAGAAGUACCCCUGACAACAUGAAAUGGAAAGUUGGACACCUAAAUGAAUGGGAAUGUGUGUGCGGCUCCUGCCACUCCCAAAAUAUCUUUAGCAGCACUGAAAGCACCAUAGUCUUUGGAGCAACAGAUGAUUGAUGGAUGAUUAAUAGCUGAUUUGCUGUGCCAUUAAAAAAGGAUUCAUUUUACUUAUACACUGUAUGUAGAAUUAGUUAAGGGUUGCACAGGAAAGAAAGUGAUGAGACAUUGUUCCCAUUAAAUUAUAAUAACAGCCUUCCUAACUACUGUAUAUUUAUUAUAUAAGAAAAGGAAAUGCCUAGUAAAAUUCUGUAUAGGUUAAUAACACCUUCAUAAUAUAGUCCCUCUUUUCUAUUGACUUGAAUAGCCCUCCUACUGACUUUUACUGGAUUAUUAGAGUUAAUUACAUCAAUUGCAAUAUAAUUGAUUCUUAAAUACUAUGUAGGGCCCUCAUACAAUUAUGGAAAAACAAAAGUCAUCUAGACAUCUCAGAUCAAAAAAGAUUUGGAAUUCCUGCACAUUUAAUUCCUGAUAAUCACCAGUCAGUUUGGACAUUAAGAUUGCAGGGUCUCUUGUUUUCUUUCUGCUAGGUUUUGACAGAAUUGAUAGUUUUACAACAUUUAACUCAGUGUGCAUGGAAAUAUAAGAUUAAAGCUACGAAUGUAAUUUGCUAAAACCGUUACUUCAUCUCCCAAAAGUGAAAUGUGUUACCUGCCUGUCUAUACUAUAAUAUAAUUUGUACACACAAGCAUGCAGAAAUAUGCAUUUAUCAUUGAAGAUUGAAGUCCUUUAUCCACAGGUGCAGGAAUUCCUGUAGAUCUUGCUUGCUAAAGUCACCACGGGCCUUCAAUAUAUGACAUGAAGCAGAACUGAACACUGAUCUCCAGAGGGCCCCUACUUCGGAUCAACUCAUUAUCCCGAAUAAACGAUGUGUCAUUCCCAUUAUUUAUGUUUCACUGCAGCCAAAGUAUCUGGACCUCGUUUUGGUAAGCACCAUUCAUUUCGACCCAUUCAGUAUUAAUCUCCCUGCUAACAUCUUUCCUGUCCUAUGUGCUGUCCCCUAUUUGCUUUUAUGUUUUCCGCAGUGUUUAUAAAAGGAUAAUCUUUUACAAAGCAGACAGAAUUUUUGUGUAUAAACUGCUCUGUUUGAAUGCCUCAUUGAUAUACCAUCUAAACUGAAGUGUUCAGCAAGAUUAGUGCAUCCACUGAACUGGGUAAAAAUAUGGGAACUGCUCCUUUCUUUAUAGCGAAAAAGGGUGGCUAAUGAUGC